This 227-nucleotide unclassified non-coding RNA is filed under the name Hevea brasiliensis (rubber tree). Lineage: Eukaryota; Viridiplantae; Streptophyta; Magnoliopsida; Malpighiales; Euphorbiaceae. The record is from RNAcentral.
GUACUAUCAGUGAUAACAUAUUAGAUACGACGGGUAUCAUCUCAGCCUCUGCUGGUAUAAAUGAACAGUUUAGGUUCAAUUCAGACAGUGAUGCUUCUGUUUCGAUUCAAAGUUCUAUCACCAACGCCUUUGAAACUGUUGAAAAAGCAAACUGUUCAAACAUGUCUGCCAUUGAGAAAAUGACUAAUUUGGUUGGAGUUAAACAUGAUUCUAAAAAACCAUGUAAC